GCACUGGGGGUUCAGUGGUAGAAUUCCCACCUUUCACGUGGGAAACCAUGAUUUGAUUCCUGGCCAUUGUA
This 71-nucleotide transfer RNA is filed under the name Loxodonta africana (African savanna elephant). It matches the Rfam family "tRNA". Rfam says of the family: Transfer RNA (tRNA) molecules are approximately 80 nucleotides in length. Lineage: Eukaryota; Metazoa; Chordata; Mammalia; Proboscidea; Elephantidae. The record is from Rfam by way of RNAcentral.